RNAcentral lists this transfer RNA (64 nucleotides) under Cyamus boopis. Its description in RNAcentral is "tRNA-Val". The record is from RNAcentral. Lineage: Eukaryota; Metazoa; Arthropoda; Malacostraca; Amphipoda; Cyamidae.
AAGAGUAAAGCUGUAUUAAAAGCGGCUCACUUACAAUGAGCAGGUUCCUGUUUAGGUACUCUUU